Small nucleolar RNA from Homo sapiens (human), 85 nucleotides. Ensembl annotates it as small nucleolar RNA, C/D box 116-30. Its record names the gene SNORD116-30. The record is from Ensembl. NCBI's taxonomy places the organism in Eukaryota, Metazoa, Chordata, Mammalia, Primates, Hominidae.
GGAUUGACGAUGACUUUAAAAAAAAAAAAUCUCAUUGAAAUCUGAAAAAAAUGAGUGACCAAACCACUUCUGUGAGCUGAGGUCC